RNAcentral lists this ribosomal RNA (396 nucleotides) under Triticum aestivum (bread wheat). Its description in RNAcentral is "partial small subunit ribosomal RNA". Lineage: Eukaryota; Viridiplantae; Streptophyta; Magnoliopsida; Poales; Poaceae. The record is from RNAcentral.
AUGAUGAAAGUGUCAACUUUAGGAGUUAGUGAUCCCACUAUUCCGAAUGAGAAGAAUUUUGCUUAUGUGGAGAGUAUAAAAAUUCCUAUGCUUGUAGAUCAUGAAAAUAAUGAUUUAUGUGAUGGUUAUAUUGUUGAAUUCAUUCAUGAUGCUACUGAAAAUUAUUAUGAGGGAGUAAUUUAUGCUUGUAGGAGUUGCAAUAAUACCAAGUUUCCUCUCUAUGCGCUUAAAGUUCCGAAGUUAUACUUGUUUUGCCUUCCUAUGCUAGUUGAUUAUUGUUCCCUUAAAUUAUGUGCUAAAAAAAUCCCUACGCAUAGGAAGUGGGUUAGAUUUAAAUGUGAUAGUCAUAUUCUUCAUGAUGCUCUCUCUAUGUUUCAAUUCUUUUCUUUUAUGUGA